GAUGAAGAACGUAGUGAAAUGCGAUAAGUAAUGUGAAUUGCAGAGUUCAGUGAAUCAUCGAAUCUUUGAACGCACAUUGCGCCCCGUGGUAUUCCGCGGGGCAUGCCUGUUCGAGCGUCAUUUCACCACUCAAGCCUCGCUUGGUAUUGGGCGACGCGGUCCGCCGCGCGCCUCAAAUCGACCGGCUGGGUCGAUCGCACCCUCAGCGUUGUGGAAACUAUUCGCUAAAGGAGUUGUGGUCGGUCACGCCGUGAAACAAACCAAUCUUUCAAUGGUUGACCUCGGAUCAGGUAGGGAUACCCGCUGAACUUAAGCAUAUCAAUAAGCGGAGGA
RNAcentral lists this unclassified non-coding RNA (333 nucleotides) under soil metagenome. Its description in RNAcentral is "partial contains 5.8S ribosomal RNA, internal transcribed spacer 2, and large subunit ribosomal RNA". The stretch from base 1 to 120 matches the Rfam family "5.8S ribosomal RNA", at positions 35 to 154 of the family's 154-position model. The record is from RNAcentral.